This is a long non-coding RNA of Pan troglodytes (chimpanzee), 245 nucleotides long. RefSeq lists it as uncharacterized. The record is from RefSeq and is a predicted model, not a curated record. Lineage: Eukaryota; Metazoa; Chordata; Mammalia; Primates; Hominidae. The transcript has 3 exons.
AGCAGAUGGGGAGCUUAAGAAGGAAGCUAGUUCAUGGCACAGCACCCGUAAAGUCCCCAGAAUUGGAGGCACCAGAUUCUUCUGAAAGAAAAGGAGCAAUUCAGCACUUGUCAUGGAGAUAAGAGGUCAACACCCCAGGACGGAGUGAAAACCUAAGAUGGACUCAACGACUCUUACCGUCCAGCUCUCAAGUCCCUUCUCUUGUGAAAAUGGAAAAGUUGAACUACAGUUGAGAUAUUAUUCCC